RNAcentral lists this ribosomal RNA (494 nucleotides) under uncultured bacterium. Its description in RNAcentral is "partial 16S ribosomal RNA". It matches the Rfam family "Bacterial small subunit ribosomal RNA", at positions 28 to 506 of the family's 1533-position model. The record is from RNAcentral.
GACGAACGCUGGCGGCGUGCCUAAUACAUGCAAGUAGAACGCUGAAGGAGGAGCUUGCUUCUCUGGAUGAGUUGCGAACGGGUGAGUAACGCGUAGGUAACCUGCCUGGUAGCGGGGGAUAACUAUUGGAAACGAUAGCUAAUACCGCAUAAUAGCAGUUGUUGCAUGACAACUGUUUGAAAGGUGCAAUUGCACCACUACCAGAUGGACCUGCGUUGUAUUAGCUAGUUGGUGGGGUAACGGCUCACCAAGGCGACGAUACAUAGCCGACCUGAGAGGGUGAUCGGCCACACUGGGACUGAGACACGGCCCAGACUCCUACGGGAGGCAGCAGUAGGGAAUCUUCGGCAAUGGACGGAAGUCUGACCGAGCAACGCCGCGUGAGUGAAGAAGGUUUUCGGAUCGUAAAGCUCUGUUGUAAGAGAAGAACGAGUGUGAGAGUGGAAAGUUCACACUGUGACGGUAUCUUACCAGAAAGGGACGGCUAACUACGU